Molecule: ribosomal RNA, 301 nt
Filed under: uncultured bacterium
Lineage: Bacteria
Description: partial 16S ribosomal RNA
Rfam family: Bacterial small subunit ribosomal RNA
Source: RNAcentral
CAGUAGCCACGGUAAUGCGUAGGGUGCAAGCGUUAAUCGGAAUUACUGGGCGUAAAGCGUGCGCAGGCGGUUUGUUAAGACAGAUGUGAAAUCCCCGGGCUCAACCUGGGAACUGCAUUUGUGACUGGCAAGCUAGAGUAUGGCAGAGGGGGGUGGAAUUCCGCGUGUAGCAGUGAAAUGCGUAGAUAUGCGGAGGAACACCGAUGGCGAAGGCAGCCCCCCUGGGCCAAUACUGACGCUCAUGCACGAAAGCGUGGGGAGCAAACAGGAUUAGAUACCCGUGUAGUCCCUGUCUCUUAUA